Molecule: ribosomal RNA, 1173 nt
Filed under: Triticum aestivum (bread wheat)
Lineage: Eukaryota; Viridiplantae; Streptophyta; Magnoliopsida; Poales; Poaceae
Description: partial small subunit ribosomal RNA
Source: RNAcentral
AUGGAUCGGCCGGCGCCGGACCAGCGGCCCACGCUCUUCUCGCCGUACCAGAUGCGCCGCUUCAGCCUCGCCCACCGGGUGGUGCUGGCGCCGAUGACGAGGUGCAGGGCCAUCGGCGGGCUGCCGGGGCCGGCGCUGGCGGAGUACUACGCGCAGCGGGCCACCCAGGGAGGCCUGCUCAUCUCCGAGGGCACCGUCGUCUCGCCGGCCGGGCCGGGGUUUCCUCACGUCCCUGGAAUAUACAAUCAGGAGCAGAUAGAUGGAUGGAAAAAGGUGGUGGAUGCUGUUCAUGCUAAGGGAGGCAUCUUUUUCUGUCAAUUAUGGCACGUAGGCAGAGCUUCUCACCAAGUAUACCAGCCGGACGGUGCUGCUCCAAUAUCCUCAACUGAUAAGCCGAUAUCAGCAAGGUGGAAGAUAUUGCUGCCUGAUGGUUCAUACGGAACGUAUCCCACGCCAAGCCGCCUUGCGACAUCGGAAAUACCAGACAUAGUCGAGCAAUAUCGCCAAGCUGCCAUAAACGCCAUCAAAGCAGGUUUCGAUGGCAUCGAGAUCCACGGCGCUCAUGGCUACAUCAUCGAUCAGUUCCUCAAGGAUGGCAUCAACGACCGCACCGACGAGUAUGGCGGAUCGCUCACCAACCGUUGCAAGUUUCUACUCGAGGUGACCCGAGCCGUGGUAUCCGCCAUCAGAGCAGAGCGAACUGCGGUGAGGGUGUCACCGGCCAUCGACCACCUUGACGCCUAUGACUCGAACCCAAUGCAGCUAGGCAUGGCCGUCGUCGAACGGCUCAACGCUCUCCAGCAGGAAGCCGGGCAGCUCGCCUACCUCCACGUGACACAGCCAAGGUACGCGGCCUACGGGCAGACAGAGUCGGGCCCGCAUGGCAGCGCCGAGGAGGAGAGCCGGCUGAUGCGCACCCUGCGGGGCGCGUACCGUGGCACGUUCAUGUGCAGCGGCGGCUACACGCGGGAGCUCGGGCUGGAGGCGGUGGAGAGCGGCGACGCCGACCUGGUGUCGUUCGGGCGGCUGUUCAUUUCGAACCCGGACCUGGUCGAGCGGCUCAGGCUCAACGCCGGCCUCAACAAGUACGUGAGGAAGACGUUCUACACCCCUGACCCCGUCGUGGGCUACACCGACUACCCGUUCCUCGGCAAGCCUAAAUCGCGCAUGUAG